The submitters of this non-coding RNA (116 nucleotides) gave its source as unclassified sequences. The record is from Rfam.
AAGCGAAGAAGUAAGGUUUGUUGUGCCAGAGGUCAGUGCCUUACGAGCUUUAUAAGGGUUUAGCAUUUACCACAAUCUGGCUAGAGAAUGCAGACUCUCAAAAGAAAAUGCCAUAG